ACUGAAGCAGUGCACUAUCAGCGUAAGAUAUCUAAACAAUGUAGAGAAUGUACAAACUGAUCAGACAUGUACUGAUUUUUACAAAUUUGGGAUUGUUAAAAUGUUUUUUUCCCCCAAAGUCAGAGAAAACUCACCCGGAGUAAAAUAGUUCCUGUGGAUUUGGCAUUUUAUAGGAUGGAGAGGACCUCACUCUAGCUAACUAAUGGACAUGUCUAAUCUCGGUUCCAUUCAACGUUACUCAAAAAACAAUGUUCAUAAGACUACUAAAUCUGUGGGAGUAUCCUUUUUAUAAAAAUCAC
This is a long non-coding RNA of Canis lupus familiaris (dog), 299 nucleotides long. RefSeq lists it as uncharacterized. The record is from RefSeq and is a predicted model, not a curated record. NCBI's taxonomy places the organism in Eukaryota, Metazoa, Chordata, Mammalia, Carnivora, Canidae. The transcript is spliced from 3 exons.